GAGUUUGAUCCUGGCUCAGGACGAACGCUGGCGGCGCGCCUAACACAUGCAAGUCGAGCGAGAACCGGGGCUUCGGCCCCGGGGACAGCGGCGAACGGGUGAGUAACACGUGGAUAACCUGCCCUCGGCACCGGAAUAGCCCGGGGAAACCCGGAUUAAUGCCGGAUGGCCCCACAUCCCUGCGGGGAACGUGGGAAAAGGUAGCUUCGGCCUCUGGCCGAGGAUGGGUCCGCGGUGGAUUAGCUUGUUGGUGGGGUAACGGCUCACCAAGGCGACGAUCCAUAGCUGGUCUGAGAGGACGAUCAGCCACACUGGGACUGAGACACGGCCCAGACUCCUACGGGAGGCAGCAGUGGGGAAUCUUGCGCAAUGGGCGAAAGCCUGACGCAGCGACGCCGCGUGCGGGAAGAAGGCCUUCGGGUUGUAAACCGCUUUCAGGAGGGACGAAGCCACUCGGGUGAACAGCCCAGAGGGUGACGGUACCUCCAGAAGAAGCCCCGGCUAACUACGUGCCAGCAGCCGCGGUAAUACGUAGGGGGCAAGCGUUGUCCGGAUUUAUUGGGCGUAAAGAGCGUGUAGGCGGCCAGGUAGGUCGGUUGUGAAAACUGGAGGCUCAACCUUCAGACGUCGACCGAAACCAUCUGGCUAGAGUCCGGGAGAGGAGAGUGGAAUUCCUGGUGUAGCGGUGAAAUGCGCAGAUAUCAGGAAGAACACCCGUGGCGAAAGCGGCUCUCUGGAACGGUACUGACGCUGAGACGCGAAAGCGUGGGGAGCGAACAGGAUUAGAUACCCUGGUAGUCCACGCCGUAAACGAUGGGCGCUAGGUGUGGGAGGUGUCGACUCCUUCCGUGCCGCAGCUAACGCAUUAAGCGCCCCGCCUGGGGAGUACGGCCGCAAGGCUAAAACUCAAAUGAAUUGACGG
RNAcentral lists this ribosomal RNA (922 nucleotides) under uncultured bacterium. RNAcentral's name for it is "bacterial SSU rRNA". It matches the Rfam family "Bacterial small subunit ribosomal RNA", at positions 9 to 916 of the family's 1533-position model. The record is from RNAcentral.